Long non-coding RNA from Micropterus salmoides (largemouth bass), 676 nucleotides. RefSeq lists it as uncharacterized. The transcript is spliced from 2 exons. The record is from RefSeq and is a predicted model, not a curated record. NCBI's taxonomy places the organism in Eukaryota, Metazoa, Chordata, Actinopteri, Centrarchiformes, Centrarchidae.
CUCAGAUAUACCUAAAUAUACCAGAAACAGUUGCCAUCAUUUUCAUGCACUGCAGCCAUUGACGAGCUUCGAGGAUUUCUCCCCCCAAUGUCAGAAGCUGCUACUGCAUUAAGGCGAACAUUUAUUUGAUGACCUCCUACCAUCUUCCCUGAAUAGGAAGCGCUUCCACCAGCGCAAAACAGGAAACAGCGAGCGCUCCAUCCUCUCCAGAGAAAUCGGACACAUCCCCCACACACCACCCCUGUCCUCCUCUUCUUCCCACAAUGCCCUGUGGCAGGACUCAGACAGGAACAAUGGAGCAUAUUGUGUGAAAAGUAAUGGACCUCUACCCUUCAGUCGCUCAACAACCGAAGGCCUUCACUGCGAUUAUACUGAACAUGCAACUAUGCACAGGAUGUCUCUUGGUUCCGUCAUCAAGAGUAACUGGUGAUAAGCACAAGUGGCCAACUCUUCAGGAACAGCUCAUGUCCAAGAUUAUGUCACCAUGUUUCAAUCUCUAUGUUGUUGGCAACUCAGCGAGUAAAUUAUCCACAGCAACAGUCACUUCUUGACAUCACAAAUUCUUCUCUUCCAUGGCUGUGAGAGACAGAAAACAGCCCACGCAUUGUGCACAUUCGGGUCCCUGUGGAAUUUGCACAUGCUCCUCCUGAGCUAUUUAAUAAAACACAGAACAGAA